GACGAACGCUGGCGGCGUGCCUAAUACAUGCAAGUCGAACGCUUCUUUCCUCCCGAGUGCUUGCACUCAAUUGGAAAGAGGAGUGGCGGACGGGUGAGUAACACGUGGGUAACCUACCCAUCAGAGGGGGAUAACACUUGGAAACAGGUGCUAAUACCGCAUAACAGUUUAUGCCGCAUGGCAUAGGAGUGAAAGGCGCUUUCGGGUGUCGCUGAUGGAUGGACCCGCGGUGCAUUAGCUAGUUGGUGAGGUAACGGCUCACCAAGGCCACGAUGCAUAGCCGACCUGAGAGGGUGAUCGGCCACACUGGGACUGAGACACGGCCCAGACUCCUACGGGAGGCAGCAGUAGGGAAUCUUCGGCAAUGGACGAAAGUCUGACCGAGCAACGCCGCGUGAGUGAAGAAGGUUUUCGGAUCGUAAAACUCUGUUGUUAGAGAAGAACAAGGACGUUAGUAA
Molecule: ribosomal RNA, 458 nt
Filed under: Enterococcus faecalis
Lineage: Bacteria; Bacillati; Bacillota; Bacilli; Lactobacillales; Enterococcaceae
Description: bacterial SSU rRNA
Rfam family: Bacterial small subunit ribosomal RNA
Source: RNAcentral